UACGUAGGGUGCAAGCGUUGUCCGGAAUUAUUGGGCGUAAAGAGCUCGUAGGCGGUUUGUCGCGUCUGCUGUGAAAUCCCGAGGCUCAACCUCGGGCCUGCAGUGGGUACGGGCAGACUAGAGUGCGGUAGGGGAGACUGGAAUUCCUGGUGUAGCGGUGAAAUGCGCAGAUAUCAGGAGGAACACCGGUGGCGAAGGCGGGUCUCUGGGCCGUAACUGACGCUGAGGAGCGAAAGCAUGGGGAGCGAACAGG
RNAcentral lists this ribosomal RNA (253 nucleotides) under uncultured bacterium. RNAcentral describes it as "partial 16S ribosomal RNA". It matches the Rfam family "Bacterial small subunit ribosomal RNA", at positions 524 to 776 of the family's 1533-position model. The record is from RNAcentral.